Molecule: long non-coding RNA, 7631 nt
Filed under: Trifolium pratense (red clover)
Lineage: Eukaryota; Viridiplantae; Streptophyta; Magnoliopsida; Fabales; Fabaceae
Description: long non-coding RNA (TPRA_LNC002396)
Source: RNAcentral
AAUGAAAGUUUUUUGAUAAGGCAAGGCCAUUGGAAACCAUAGCAAAUUCCAAAGUCAAUAAUAUGAACGCUGCUCUCAUUCUCCACUAGUCUGAAAAUCGUUUUGGUUAACAACAUAUUCGUCAAUCUCUGCAAAGGAGAUGAGGUAAUGAAUAGUUUGUAAGCUUUCAACAUAUCUCCAGCAGUAGCCAUAUCAAGUGGCUUAUACGAUGGCGUCUCGGCAGACAAUCUUAUCUCAAGACCAUUUGCAAAAUAAUGAGCUAAACGCUGGAGUCCAUCCCCAAAUUGCGAAGAAUGUUGCCUAAUCUGCUUGAGUAGCUCAUUUGUAUUCCUUUGAUCGUAGCUUGCCACGGCCUGCGCACAUUGAGUUAGCAUUGUCCACAAAUCUACAGCUGGGGCAUUGUUAGUAGUAGAUACUUUCUUCGAACGCGAACCCGUUCUCUUUGCCUUCCCUCCUGAAUUGACAUUAUGUGAUGCUUGUUGGUUUUGUGUCCUUCCUGCCUGACAAAGCAAUACCUCUUCUAAGAUCUCUGGUGGCUCUAAUUCAUCGGAGAAGAUAGCUGAAAGCUUGCUACCUCUUCCCUCUUGUUCAUUCCAAGUAUCAUCACCAUUCAUCUUAUGACUUCUCUUUUCUCUUGGUACUACUGAAGUUGAAAUCUCUUCCACCAUCCCUGGCUGAAUGGCAUUCCAACAUCCGUUGUGAAUACCGUUAGCAGCUUCUGUCACAUUAAAGUUGUUUUGUUCUACUACAUGGGUUUGUAGUUGUAAGGAAGAACAAUCGAAUUCGCCAGCAUGGUUGACCCAAUCAGACUCAUAUGAGUUAUCAGUGGAGCAGCUGCUGCUAUUGCUCUCAAAACUAGCAGUGCCGCGACUGAAAUUUCCAUCUGUGUUGGUGGUAUCUUCACAUGAUGAAUUAGGAUAGUUGUGACCAAGAACAUCAUAGAAUGAUUUUUCAGCAGCUUGGAGUCUUAAACAUUCCUGCAACAUGCAAGGUUUAAGCUCCAAGUCAUCUUCUUCAUCCAUGAGGAUGUCACUUAUGUAUCCGAGGAUGUAAUUGGAAUAUCUUGUCCCUUUUGAGGAUUCUCCAUUUGAGCUUGUGACAGAAGAAGGUGAUGAUGAUGAAUCUUCCAACUCAAAUCCAUUUGUUACCGGGUUUACUGUGUCAGGAACACAGAAAUCUUGCAGAAAGGCGUUCGGAGAAAGCAUAUUGAGACAAGGCUAAUACCAAAAUUGAACCAAAAAAUCAGAUUUUUAUACUAGAUGUUUUGAAAAAAUUUUUGUUCCAGAGAAGCCAAAAAUAUAUCACUAGGAAACUUUUGAUGAAUCAAUGAAACCAAAGACAGAACAAGAACAGAAACAGGAAAAGAUAGAAUUAUUGAUAUAUUUAAGGAUAGCAAGAAAACAAGAUUCAGAAAACUAAAUAGCUACUCCUAUUUUGGAUAAUAAUAACAUAUCUAGAAUAGAAUGAAGAAGAAUGAAUUAAAGUGAAAAUAUUAGAGGCUAAUGAAUAUAGCAGGGGACAAACUUAAGAAAAGUUUAUAUCUAGCAACUGAAGAGUAAAUGGCAUAGUUGUAUGAUUUAGUCAUAUAUCAUUGUUAUAUAGAAAAUUCAUAAAUGAUUCUUCCUUUGUAUAAAGGAAGUUGCUAGGAAGGAGUCUCAUAGUCAUAGCCGCCAACCCUCUUUUUGUAUUAUUUUAAUUUUAAUUAUUUGGAUCAUGCUAACUACUGUCCCGCAUUUUCCUAAUUAAUACUAAUUUUUAUGAUAUAGUGAUAAUAAUUCAGGGUAUAGUAUGUGUUAAGUAUAUGACUUGCUUAUUGUCAAAUAAAAAGUAUAUGGCUAGCUGUCACUGUCACACACACAUGAGUGAUAAGUGAUCUGUGAUCUAGUCUUUGAUUUUUCUAUGUAAAUAAAUAAAAUAUAUGCAAAAAUAUAUAAGUUGAGAUGUAAAGUGGUCAAACAUGUACACGUGUCAAAUGCAGGUGAACCCUUGUUCCCCAAGUCACUUUAUACAACCUAAUAGUAUUACUAAAUUAUAUAUAUGUGGAGUGCUACUAACUUCAAUUUUGAAUUCAAUGUGAAUGCACCUGGAAUGUGAUUGAUGUUUUCUUUGGUCAAAUGAUGGUGUAGUAAGACUUUUGUCAUGUAAUCUACAAUUCUACAUACCACUUGACCCUAACAACGAACCAUAUCAUAGAAAAUAAAAAGAAAUUUCAAUGGGAACAUUUUUUUAUUCAAAAUUAGUUUGUGUCAGUUUUAUGGUUUAUUUUCUUUAAACCAUUGAAUUCAAGCUGGGUGAUUAAAAUGAGGAGGGUCUCAGAAGCUUUAUAUGAUAUGAAAGUACCGCUUAAGUUAAAGGGAAAAUUUUAUCGGCGAUGUUGUAGGAAUUACUGCCAUUUCCUAGUUUUCGUUUUCAUUCAGGUGUUCUUCCUUUAAGUAUUACUUUUGUCUUUUCUGGUGAUUAGUACUAAAUUUGUGUAUCAUAAAGAAAAAGAUUGUCAUGUUUUUCCAUCUAGGUAGUAAAUUGAACAUCAAUAUUGAAAUAAAACUCAAAUGGAGAAAGAGAAAUAGAAAAGGAAAAAUUCAUUGCAUUUUUUUCAACAGGCCUAAGUGAAUUACAUAUGAUACUACUAUGAGACACCUUGUAGACAUUUUCUUAAGCAGGAACCCAAGCAGAUAAAGCAUACAAAAUACGCCCUUUCCAUCCUUGCAAAAUCCACUUACCAUCCUCAUCAACUAGAAAAUCUUCAUGGUAUUCCUUCUUUACCAUUUUUAUGGUUUCAUUCACUAACUCAGGAUCCAACCUGAUUUGCUUAAACCCAGCUCUUCUGUUCCUGAUCUGCCAUUGCUUGUAGGUCUCAGGCCUUUCAACUCUCUCUGCACCCUCACAAGCUAUAACAUUUAUGGCAUCCCUACCAAACAAACUACUCUCAAGCAUCAACCUCUGCGGAUCUUCGCGAGGCACAUUAGCCUCAAACAUAUCAAACAACGAUGAGAAGUGGUAUAAUGCUUCCCUAAACCGAGUCAGGAAAUACGGUGCACUAUAACUUCCAUUGACAACUCCGUGGAAGAAGAUUUUUGGAUUAAUUUUCCUGAUCAGCUUCAACAAAGCUUCUCUUGGACAAUUGACUGCAACCGUUUCAUCAGGCAGGUUCUUAAGUCUGUAUAAACAGCUAACAAGAGUUAUUUCAUUCCUGUCUAUCUUCAGAUCCUCGAGCCGGAUAGUUUCCCAUUUCUGUGCAAUGCAGUUGUAUUCAAAUGGUACAUUGAACUUUUUGCAGUAGUUUCCUAAACGCCGUCCAGUUUCCUCCACCCUCUCUGCAGGCCUAAAUCCUGCCUGAGGAAGAUCAAUUCCCGUAAUUCGAAGCUUUAGUGGACCACCAGGUCUUAAUGAAAGUCUUUUGAUGAGGCAAGGCCAUUGGAAACCAUAGCAAAUUCCAAAAUCGAUAAUAUGAACGCUAGAACUCUCGUUCUUCACUAUGUCGAUAAUCGUAUUGGUUAACAACAUAUUUGUCAUUCUCUGCAAAGGAGAUGAGGUAACGAAUAGUUUGUACGCUUUCAACAUAUCUCCAGCAGUAGCCACAUCAAGUGGCUUAUACGAUGGCGUCUCGGCAGCCAAUCUUAUCUCAAGACCAUUGGCAAAGUAAUGAGCUAAGCGCUGCAGUCCAUCACCAUAAGCCGAAGAAUGUUGCCUAAUAUGCUUGAGCAGCUCAUUUGUAUUCCUUUGAUCGUAGCUCGCCACAGCCUGCGCACAUUGAGUUAGCAUGGUCCACAAAUCCACAGCUGUGGCAUUGUUAUUAGAUACUUUCCUUGGCUGCGAACGUGUUGCCUUUGACUUUCGUCCUGAAUCGAGAUUCUGCAAUUGUUGUUGGUUUUUAGUCCUUCCUGACUGAUAAAGCAGUACCUCAUCUAAAAUCUCUGGUGGCUCUAAUUCAUCAGAGAAGAUAGCUGAAAUCUUGCUACCUCUUCCCUCUUGUUCAUCACAAGAUUCAUCAUCAUUUAUCUCAUGUCUUCUCUUUUCUCUUGGUGCUAAUGAAGCUGAAACCUCUGCAACCAUCACUUUGUGAAUGUCAUUCCAACUCCAAGUUCCAUUCUGAAAAUGGCUUGCAGAUUGUUGCUCAAUUACCACUGGAUCAGGUUCUGUCAAAUCGGCGUAGUUUGGUUUGACUAAAGGAGUGUGUAGUUGUAAGGAAGGAGAGUCAUAGUCUCCAACAAGGUUGAUCCAAUCACACUCAUAUGAGUUAUCAGUGGUGCAGCUGCUGCUGUUGCUCUCAAAACUAGUGGCGCGACCGAAAUUUCCAUCUGGAUCAGUGGAAUCAUCACAUGAUGAAUGAGGAUAGUUUUGACCAAGAACAUCAUAGAAUGAUUUUUCAGCAGCUUGGAGUCUUAAACAUUCCUGCAACAUGCAAGGUUUGUUCUCUAAAUCAUAUUCUUCAUCCAUGAGUAUGUCAUUUAUGUAUCUGAGGAUGUUGUUGGAAUAUCUUGUAUGUUCAUAAUUUCCAUAUGAGCUUGUGACAGAAGAAGGUGAUGAAGAUGAAUCUUCCAACUCAAAUCCAUUUGUUACUGUGUUAGGAACACUGAAAUCUUGCAGAAAGGUGUUUUUGGAAAGCAUAUUGAAACAAAGGCUAAUGCCAAACUUGAGCAAAAAAAAAUAAUCAGACUAUCAUAAAAGAUUGUUUUGUUCCUGAGAAACCAAGAAUUUAUGACUAGAAUUUUUUUGAUGAAUCAAUGAAACCAAAGACUGAACAACAGAAACAGGAAAAGAUAGAAUUGUUGAUAUAUUUGAGGAAGUCAGAAUAAGAACAAAGAAAACAAGAUUGAGAAAACUAAAAAAUUGUUCCUAUUUUGGAUGAUAAUAAUAGCUUAUCUUGGAAAAGUUGAUAUCUAUCUAACAAGUGAAGAGUAAAUGGCAUUGUUGUAUGAUAAUAAUAUCAUUGAUAUGUGUUGAUACCUUUGUUAUAUAGAAUUCAUAAAUGAUUCUUUACCAAGGAAACUACUAGGAAUGAGUAUUAUAGCCGCCAACCCUCUCCUUUUGUAUUAUUCCAUGUAUUAUUAUUUUAUGAUAUAGGGUGUGUUUGGUAAUUCCAAUAAGCUAGCUUAUAGCUUAUUGCAAUAGCUUAUGAGCUUGUUUGAUUUGGACGUGUUUGGUAACUAGCUUAUAUAAUUAGCUUAUAGCGUUUUUUGAGAUGCUAUUUCAAGUAGCGUAUGAGCUUAUAGCUUAUAGUUUUUUACAUUUUAUUCCAUAUUUACCCUUAUUAUUUUUUUAAAAUUAUAAUAACUACCCACUAACUAUAUACUUUUAUGUCAUUUUGUACUUACGACAGCUAAAUUUGUCAAACACUUUAAUUUUAUUCUACUAGCUUUUCAGCUAUAAGAUAGCUUAUAGCUUAUUUUUACCAAACAGAGCCAUAGUAAUAAUAAUGCACGAUCGAGUAUGUGCUAAGUAAAGUAUAUGACUAUUGCUGUUACUGUCACACACACACAAGAGAAGAGAGAGAUACGUGAUAUGUGAUCUAGUUUUUUAUUUUUCUGUUCUAUAUAAGAUAAGAUAUUAAAUGGUCAAAUGCAGGUGAACCCUUGUUCCCCAAGUCACUUUUUGCAACCUACUAGUAUUACUAAAUUAUAUAUCAUGUGGAGUACUACUAACUACAAUUUUAAAUUCAAUGUGAAUGCCACUUGAAUGUGAUUGAUGUUUUCUUUGGUCCCAUGAUGGUGUAGUAAGACUUUUGUUAUGUAAUCUACAAUUCUACAUACAUCUUGUUAACACUUGACACUAACAACGAACCAUAUCAUAGAACAUAAAAAGAAAUUUCAGUUGGAAACUUUUUUUGAUUCAAAAUUAGUUUGUGUUGGUUGACAAUCUUCUUUAAGAGGAGGGUCUCUGAAGUUUUAUGUAAUAUGAAAGUACCCCUUAAAUUAAAGGGAAAAUUUUAUCGGACUACGGUAAAACCGGCGAUGUUGUACGGAACCAACACAGAAAUAAACUAAGUGUAGCAGAGAUGAGGAUGUUGCGUUGGAUGUGUGGUGAGAGUAGACGGGAUAUAAUAGAAAUGACAACAUUAGAGAUAGAGAGUUGGGGUAGCAUCUAUAGUAGAAAAUAUGGUGAAAUCUAAGAGCUUAAGUGGUUUGGCCAUGUAGAUAGAAAACCUGUAAGUUCUGUAUUAAGGAGAGUAGAUCAGAUGGAGGAGAGUCAAAUUACUAGGAAGACCUAGGAAAAACAUAGGAGAAACUAUUAAGAAAGAUCUAGAAAUUAGCGAGUUGGAAUAGUAAUAUGACGUCGUUUAAUCCAUGUAGCUGACUCCACGUAGUGGGAUAAUGCAUGGUUGUUGUUGUUGUUGAUGAAUUACUGCCAUUCCUAGUUUUUGUUUUCAUUCAGGUGUUCUUCCUUUAAGUAAUAUUUUUGUCUUUUCUGAUUAUUAGUACUAAAUUUGUGUUUCAUAAAGAAAAAGAUUAUCAUGUUUUUCCACCUAGGAAGUAAAUUGAACAUCAAUAUUGAAAUAAAAACUCAAAUGGAGAAAGAGAAAUAGAAAAGGAAAAAUUCAUUGCAUUUUUUUCAACAGGUUUAAGUGAAUUACAUAUGAUACUACUACAAGACACCUUUUGGACAUUUUCUUAAGCAGGAACCCAAGCAGAAAAAGCAUUCAAAAUACGGCCUUUCCAUCCUUGCAAAAUCCACUUACCAUCCUCAUCAACUACAAAAUCUUUAUGGUAUUCCUUCUUAACCAUUGUUUUGGUUUGAUUCACUAACUCAGAAUCCAACCUGAUUUGCUUGAACCCAGCUCUUCUGUUCCUGAUCUGCCAUUGCUUGUAGGUCUCAGGCCUUUCAACUCUCUCUGCACCCUCACAAGCUAUAACAUUUAUGGCAUCCCUAGCAAACACACUACUCUCAAGCAUCAACCUCUGUGGAUCUUCGCGAGGAACAUUAGCCUCAAACAUAUCAAACAAUGAUGAGAAGUGGUAUAGUGCUUCCCUAAACCGAGUCAGGAAAAACGGUGCACUAUAACUUCCAUUGACAACUCCGUGGAAGAAGAUUUUUGGAUUAAUCUUCUUGAUCAGCUUCAACAAAGCUUCUCUUGGACAAUUGACUGCAACCGUUUCAUCAGGCAGGUUCUUCAGUCUGUAUAAACAGCUAACAAGAGUUAUUUCAUUCCUGUCUAUCUUCAGAUCCUCGAGCCGGAUAGUUUCCCAUUUCUGUGCAAUGAAGUUGUAUUCAAAUGGUACAUUGAACUUCUUGCAGUAGUUUCCUAAACGCCGUCCGGUUUCCUCCACCCUCUCUGCAGGCCUAAAUCCUGCCUGAGGAAGAUCAAUUCCCGUAAUUCGAAGCUUUGGAGGACCGCCAGGUCUUAAUGAAAGUCUUUUGAUGAGGCAAGGCCAUUGGAAACCAUAGCAAAUUCCAAAAUCGAUAAUAUGAACGCUGCUCUCGUACUUCACUACUCUGAUAAUCGUAUUGGUUAACAAGUUAUUUGUCAUUCUCUGCAAAGGAGAUGAGGUAAUGAAUAGUUUGUACGCUUUCAACAUAUCUCCAGCAGUAGCCACACAAAAAGGCAUAUACGACGGUGUCUCGGCAGCCAAUCUUAUCUCAAGACCAUCAGCAAAGUAAUGAGCUAAGCGCUGCAGUCCAUCACCAUAAGCCGA